RNAcentral lists this long non-coding RNA (268 nucleotides) under Gossypium barbadense (sea-island cotton). RNAcentral's name for it is "long non-coding RNA (GBAR_LNC004518)". The record is from RNAcentral. Lineage: Eukaryota; Viridiplantae; Streptophyta; Magnoliopsida; Malvales; Malvaceae.
AAUAUAUUGCUACUUCACUCUGUCUUAUACUUGCUUAUGAAAAUUGAUUAAUUAAUUUAACAUAGUAAUAUGUUUGAAAGAUUGAUUAAUUGAGUAAGUAUGUAUGUGCAUUAGUUAACAAAUGACCAAGUUGCCGUGAAAUUAUUCGUAAUAACAUGAACAUAGUUUUAAUAAUUAUAAGUUAAAAGAAUGAGAUUAAUCUAACACACAUUUAUGUCAUAUUGAUUAAAACCUUUUUUAGAAAUCGUGCAUUGGAAUUUUACUUUUU